Vigna angularis (adzuki bean) is the source of this 280-nucleotide ribosomal RNA. It matches the Rfam family "Bacterial small subunit ribosomal RNA", at positions 567 to 869 of the family's 1533-position model. NCBI's taxonomy places the organism in Eukaryota, Viridiplantae, Streptophyta, Magnoliopsida, Fabales, Fabaceae. The record is from Rfam.
AUUUGUAGGUGGCUUUUUAAGUUUGUCGUCAAAUUUCAGGACUCAAGUAAAACUAUCAAGCUGGAGUCCGAUAAGAAUAGAGGAAAUUUUUGAUAGAGCAGUGAAAUACAUAGAGAUUAGAAAGAACACCAACGACAAAAGCACAUUCUACUGGACUGACACUGACACUAAAAAUGAAAGGUAGGGAAGCGAACGAGAUUAGAUACUUCAGUGGUCUAGCCAUAAACCAUGGAUACUAGGCGUUCUGCUAUAUCACAUGAAUAUGAAUGUAGAUGUGUCU